RNAcentral lists this ribosomal RNA (254 nucleotides) under uncultured bacterium. RNAcentral's name for it is "partial 16S ribosomal RNA". It matches the Rfam family "Bacterial small subunit ribosomal RNA", at positions 524 to 776 of the family's 1533-position model. The record is from RNAcentral.
UACGGAGGAUCCAAGCGUUAUCCGGAAUUACUGGGCGUAAAGAGUUGCGUAGGUGGCAUAGUAAGCAGGUAGUGAAAGCGUGUGGCUCAACCAUACUCACAUUAUUUGAACUGCUAAGCUAGAGGAUGAGAGAGGUUAUUGGAAUUCCCUGUGUAGGAGUGAAAUCCGUAGAUAUAGGGAGGAACACCGAUGGCGUAGGCAGAUAACUGGCUCAUUCCUGACACUAAGGCACGAAAGCGUGGGGAGCAAACAGG